AGACCCGAAACCCGGUGAUCUAGCCAUGGGCAGGUUGAAGGUUGGGUAACACUAACUGGAGGACCGAACCGACUAAUGUUGAAAAAUUAGCGGAUGACCUGUGGCUGGGGGUGAAAGGCCAAUCAAACCGGGAGAUAGCUGGUUCUCCCCGAAAGCUAUUUAGGUAGCGCCUCGUGAAUUCAUCUCCGGGGGUAGAGCACUGUUUCGGCUAGGGGGCCAUCCCGGCUUACCAACCCGAUGCAAACUGCGAAUACCGGAGAAUGUUAUCACGGGAGACACACGGCGGGUGCUAACGUCCGUCGUGAAGAGGGAAACAACCCAGACCGCCAGCUAAGGUCCCAAAGUCAUGGUUAAGUGGGAAACGAUGUGGGAAGGCCCAGACAGCCAGGAUGUUGGCUUAGAAGCAGCCAUCAUUUAAAGAAA
RNAcentral lists this ribosomal RNA (423 nucleotides) under Salmonella enterica. RNAcentral describes it as "partial 23S ribosomal RNA". It matches the Rfam family "Bacterial large subunit ribosomal RNA", at positions 711 to 1131 of the family's 2925-position model. Lineage: Bacteria; Pseudomonadati; Pseudomonadota; Gammaproteobacteria; Enterobacterales; Enterobacteriaceae. The record is from RNAcentral. RNAcentral also lists the same sequence under 2 other names.